AUACUUACCUGGCAGGGGCGAUACCAUGAUCAUGAAGGUGAUUUUCCCAAGGCGAGGCUUAUCUAUUGCACUCUGGAUGUGCUGACCUUUGCAAUUUCCUCAAAUGUGGAAGCUCAACUACAUAAUUGGUGGUAGUGGGGGACUGUGUUCGUGCUUUCCCCUG
Small nuclear RNA from Leopardus geoffroyi (Geoffroy's cat), 163 nucleotides. RefSeq annotates it as U1 spliceosomal RNA. The transcript has a single exon. The record is from RefSeq and is a predicted model, not a curated record. Lineage: Eukaryota; Metazoa; Chordata; Mammalia; Carnivora; Felidae.